Molecule: non-coding RNA, 115 nt
Organism: Acanthosepion pharaonis
Lineage: Eukaryota; Metazoa; Mollusca; Cephalopoda; Sepiida; Sepiidae
Source: the annotation of a GenBank genome assembly
UUAUGGCCAUAUCACAUUGAAACAACAGUUCCCAUCUGAUCACCGAAGUUAAGCAAUGUUGAGCCCAGUGAGUAUCUAGAUGGGUCACCGCUUGGGGAAUACCAAGUGCUGUAAG